GAACGCUGGCGGCGUGCCUACUACAUGCAAGUCGAGCGAACAGACGAGGAGCUUGCUCCUCUGACGUUCGCGGCGGACGGGUGAGUAACACGUGGAUAACCUACCUAUAAGACUGGGAUAACUUCGGGAAACCGGAGCUAAUACCGGAUAAUAUAUUGAACCGCAUGGUUCAAUAGUGAAAGACGGUUUUGCUGUCACUUAUAGAUGGAUCCGCGCCGCAUUAGCUAGUUGGUAAGGUAACGGCUUACCAAGGCGACGAUGCGUAGCCGACCUGAGAGGGUGAUCGGCCACACUGGAACUGAGACACGGUCCAGACUCCUACGGGAGGCAGCAGUAGGGAAUCUUCCGCAAUGGGCGAAAGCCUGACGGAGCAACGCCGCGUGAGUGAUGAAGGUCUUCGGAUCGUAAAACUCUGUUAUUAGGGAAGAACAAAUGUGUAAGUAACUAUGCACGUCUUGACGGUACCUAAUCAGAAAGCCACGGCUAACUACGUG
This 494-nucleotide ribosomal RNA is filed under the name uncultured bacterium. Its description in RNAcentral is "partial 16S ribosomal RNA". It matches the Rfam family "Bacterial small subunit ribosomal RNA", at positions 31 to 507 of the family's 1533-position model. The record is from RNAcentral.